AAUCAACGCUGGCGGCGUGCCUCAGACAUGCAAGUCGAACGCGAAAGGCUCCUUCGGGAGCCCGGUAGAGUGGCGCACGGGUGAGUAACACGUAGGUAAUUUGCCUUCGGGUGGGGAAUAACUCAGGGAAACUUGAGCUAAUACCGCAUAAUGCAGCGGCUCGACAUCGAGACAGUUGUUAAAGCGGGGGAUCACAAGACCUCGCGCCUGAAGAGAAGCCUGCGGCAGAUUAGCUAGUUGGUAGGGUAAUGGCCUACCAAGGCGACGAUCUGUAACCGGCCUGAGAGGGCGGUCGGUCACACUGACACUGACAUACGGGUCAGACUCCUACGGGAGGCAGCAGUCGGGAAUUUUGGGCAAUGGGCGCAAGCCUGACCCAGCAACGCCGCGUGAAGGAU
This 398-nucleotide ribosomal RNA is filed under the name uncultured bacterium. Its description in RNAcentral is "bacterial SSU rRNA". It matches the Rfam family "Bacterial small subunit ribosomal RNA", at positions 32 to 409 of the family's 1533-position model. The record is from RNAcentral.